ACGGAGGCAGCAGUGGGGGAUAUUGCACAAUGGGCGAAAGCCUGAUGCAGCGACGCCGCGUGAGGGAAGGAGGUUUUCGGAUUGUAAACCUCUGUCAUCGGGGACGAUAAUGACUGUACCCGAGAAGGAAGCUCCGGCUAACUACGUGCCAGCAGCCGCGGUAAUACGUAGGGAGCGAGCGUUAUCCGGAAUUACUGGGUGUAAAGGGAGUGUAGGCGGGACUGUAAGUCAGAUGUGAAAUAUGCCGGCUCAACUGGCAGACUGCAUUUGAAACUGCGGUUCUUGAGUGAAGUAGAGGUAAGCGGAAUUCCUAGUGUAGCGGUGAAAUGCGUAGAUAUUAGGAGGAACAUCAGUGGCGAAGGCGGCUUACUGGGCUUUAACUGACGUUGAGGCUCGAAAGUGUGGGGAGCAAACAGGAUUAGAUACCCUGGUA
RNAcentral lists this ribosomal RNA (433 nucleotides) under uncultured Ruminococcus sp. RNAcentral's name for it is "partial 16S ribosomal RNA". It matches the Rfam family "Bacterial small subunit ribosomal RNA", at positions 341 to 792 of the family's 1533-position model. The record is from RNAcentral. Lineage: Bacteria; Bacillati; Bacillota; Clostridia; Eubacteriales; Oscillospiraceae.